GACGAACGCUGGCGGCGUGCCUAAUACAUGCCAGUCGAACGCUGAAGGAGGAGCUUGCUUCUCUGGAUGAGUUGCGAACGGGUGAGUAACGCGUAGGUAACCUGCCUGGUAGCGGGGGAUAACUAUUGGAAACGAUAGCUAAUACCGCAUAAGAGUAGAUGUUGCAUGACAUUUGCUUAAAAGGUGCAAUUGCAUCACUACCAGAUGGACCUGCGUUGUAUUAGCUAGUUGGUGGGGUAACGGCUCACCAAGGCGACGAUACAUAGCCGACCUGAGAGGGUGAUCGGCCACACUGGGACUGAGACACGGCCCAGACUCCUACGGGAGGCAGCAGUAGGGAAUCUUCGGCAAUGGACGGAAGUCUGACCGAGCAACGCCGCGUGAGUGAAGAAGGUUUUCGGAUCGUAAAGCUCUGUUGUAAGAGAAGAACGAGUGUGAGAGUGGAAAGUUCACACUGUGACGGUAUCUUACCAGAAAGGGACGGCUAACUACGUG
Molecule: ribosomal RNA, 495 nt
Filed under: uncultured bacterium
Lineage: Bacteria
Description: partial 16S ribosomal RNA
Rfam family: Bacterial small subunit ribosomal RNA
Source: RNAcentral